UUUUUAAUGUCACGGGCCAUU
This 21-nucleotide non-coding RNA is filed under the name Caenorhabditis elegans. Lineage: Eukaryota; Metazoa; Nematoda; Chromadorea; Rhabditida; Rhabditidae. The record is from RNAcentral.